This 459-nucleotide ribosomal RNA is filed under the name uncultured bacterium. RNAcentral describes it as "partial 16S ribosomal RNA". It matches the Rfam family "Bacterial small subunit ribosomal RNA", at positions 339 to 795 of the family's 1533-position model. The record is from RNAcentral.
CUACGGGAGGCAGCAGUGAGGAAUAUUGCGCAAUGGACGAAAGUCUGACGCAGCCAUGCCGCGUGCAGGAUGACGGCGCUAUGCGUUGUAAACUGCUUUUAUAUGCCAAGAAACCUUCGGACGUGUCCGAAGCUGACGGUAGCAUAUGAAUAAGCACCGGCUAACUCCGGCCAGCAGGCCGCGGUAAUACGGAGGGUGCAAGCGUUAUCCGGAUUUAUUGGGUUUAAAGGGUCCGUAGGCGGAUCAUUAAGUCAGUGGUGAAAGCCGGCAGCUCAACUGUCGAACGGCCAUUGAUACUGGUGAUCUUGAAUACGGUUGAAGUUGGCGGAAUAGGUCAUGUAGCGGUGAAAUGCUUAGAUAUGACCUAGAACACCGAUUGCGAAGGCAGCCAACUAAGCCGUUAUUGACGCUGAGGGACGAAAGCGUGGGGAGCGAACAGGAUUAGAUACCCGAGUAGUC